RNAcentral lists this ribosomal RNA (747 nucleotides) under bacterium enrichment culture clone BH86. RNAcentral's name for it is "bacterial SSU rRNA". It matches the Rfam family "Bacterial small subunit ribosomal RNA", at positions 67 to 828 of the family's 1533-position model. The record is from RNAcentral.
CGAGAAACGGUCUAGCUUGCUAGAUGCAGUCUAAGUGGCGCACGGGUGAGUAAUGUAUAGGUAAUGUGCCUUUUAGUGGGGGAUAACAGUUGGAAACGACUGCUAAUACCCUAUAUUCCUUAUUAACAAAAGUGUGUAAGGGAAAGAUUUAUUGCUAAAAGAUCGGCCUAUAUUGUAUCAGCUUGUUGGUGAGGUAAUGGCUCACCAAGGCAAUGACGCAUAACUGGUUUGAGAGGAUGAUCAGUCACACUGGAACUGAGACACGGUCCAGACUCCUACGGGAGGCAGCAGUGGGGAAUAUUGCACAAUGGACGGAAGUCUGAUGCAGCAACGCCGCGUGGAGGAUGACGCAUUUCGGUGUGUAAACUCCUUUUAUAUAAGAAGAUAAUGACGGUAUUAUAUGAAUAAGCACCGGCUAACUCCGUGCCAGCAGCCGCGGUAAUACGGGGGGUGCAAGCGUUACUCGGAAUCACUGGGCGUAAAGAGCGUGUAGGCGGAUUGGUAAGUUGGAUGUGAAAGCCUAUGGUUCAACCAUAGAAUUGCUUCCAAAACUGCUAGUCUAGAGUGUGGGAGAGGUAGAUGGAAUUUCUGGUGUAGGGGUAAAAUCCGUAGAGAUCAGAAGGAAUACCGAUUGCGAAGGCGAUCUACUGGAACAUAACUGACGCUGAGACGCGAAAGCGUGGGGAGCAAACAGGAUUAGAUACCCUGGUAGUCCACGCCCUAAACGAUGUACACUAGUUGUUGUGA